AUUGAACGCUGGCGGCAUGCCUUACACAUGCAAGUCGAACGGUAACGCGGGGCAACCUGGCGACGAGUGGCGAACGGGUGAGUAAUGCAUCGGAACGUGCCCAGUAGUGGGGGAUAGCUCGGCGAAAGCCGGAUUAAUACCGCAUACGACCUACGGGUGAAAGCGGGGGACCGUAAGGCCUCGCGCUAUUGGAGCGGCCG
RNAcentral lists this ribosomal RNA (200 nucleotides) under uncultured bacterium. RNAcentral describes it as "partial 16S ribosomal RNA". It matches the Rfam family "Bacterial small subunit ribosomal RNA", at positions 30 to 232 of the family's 1533-position model. The record is from RNAcentral.